Macaca fascicularis (crab-eating macaque) is the source of this 1869-nucleotide long non-coding RNA. The record is from Ensembl. NCBI's taxonomy places the organism in Eukaryota, Metazoa, Chordata, Mammalia, Primates, Cercopithecidae.
UUUUCAUUUGUUUGACUAUCUCGUUGUAUUUGUCACUUGUCAAGUACAUAGAAUUAUCUCUCUUUGGAGAAUGGAAUGUGAAAGCCGUGAUAAAAACUUCUGCUUGAUAUCAUAGCCAAGGUCCACCCCGAUGUGGCUGGGAGCUGUGACAAUGACAAUAGGAAGCUGUGCUGACAGGAAACUGUAACGCAUGCCCAGGAAAGACUUCAGGUUACUGAAAACUGCCCAGUCUCCCUGCCUGGCACACACUAACCAGCGGAUGCCAACUGAUGUCAGUGUGACUCCCCCCAUCUGACUAAUACACCCCAAGACGCUAUUUGUUUGCUGUUGUUUGUGACAAGGUCUCACUCUAUCACCCAGGCAUCAGUGCAGUGCCGCAGUCACAGCUCACUGCAGCCUCAACCUCCUGGGCCUAACCUCAACCUUCCUGCCUCAGCCUCCUGAGCAACUGGGUGUAGGGUCCAGCUCUACAGGGCUUAGUGGGUGUUCUUCCCCUGUGUGGAGACAAGAGAUUGUAAUAAAUAAAGACACAAGACAAAGAGAUAAAGAGAAAACAGCGGCCGGGCACAGUGGCUCAAGCCUGUAAUCCCAGCACUUUGGGAGGCUGAGACGGGAGGAUCACCAGGUCAGGAGAUCGAGACCAUCCUGGCUAACACGGUGAAACCCCAUCUCUACUAAAAAAAUACAAAAAAACUAGCCGGGCGAGGUGGUGGGCGCCUGUAGUCCCAGCUACUCGGGAGGCUGAGGCAGGAGAAUGGCCUAAACCCCAGAGGCAGAGCUUGCAGUGAGCUGAGAUCCGGCCACUGCACUCCAGCCUGGGCGACAGAGCCAGACUCUGUCUAAAAAAAAAAAAAAAAGAGAAAACAGCUGGGCCGGGGGAACCACUACCAUCAAGACAUGAAGACCGGUAGUGGCCCUAAACGGCCGGGCGCGCUGAUAUUUACUGCACACAAGACAAGGGGGCAGGGUAAGGAGGGUGAAUCUUCUAAGUGAUUGACAAGGUGAAGCAAGUCAUGUGAUUACCGGAUAGGGGGCCCUUCCCUUUUAGGUAGCCAAAGCAGAGAGAGAAGGCAGCAUACGUCAGCAUUUUCUUCUAUGCACUUUUAAGAAAGAUCAAAGACCUGAAGACUUUCACUAUUUCUUCUACUGCUAUCUACUACAAACUUCAAAGAGGAACCAGGAGUACGGGAGGAACAUGAAAGUGGACGAGGAGUGUGACCACUGAAGCACAGCACCACAGGGAGGGGGUUAGGCCUCUGGAUGACUGCAGGCAGGCCUGGAUAAUAUCCAGCCUUCCACAAGAAGCUGGUGGAGCAGAGCGUUCCCCGACUCCUCCAAGGAAAGGAGACUCCCUUUCGCAGUCUGCUAACUAAUGGGUGCCUUCACAGACACUGGCGUUACCACUUGACCAAGGAGCCCUCAAGUGGCCCUUAUGCGGGCUUGACAGAGGGCUCACCUCUUGCCUUCUAGGUUACUUCUCACAAUGUCCCUUCAGCACCUGACCCUAUACCCGCCCGUUAUUCCUAGGUUAUAUUAGCAAUGCAACAAAGAGCAAUAUUAAAAGCUAAGGAAUAAUAAUGUUUAUAAUAAUGAUUGAUAAUUGUUCACGAUCAUCUCUAUAUCUAAUUUGUAUUACGAUUAUUCUUAUCCUAACUAUUUUAUUCAUUAUACGGAAACAGUUUGUGCCUUCGGUCUCUUGCCUCAGGAACUAGGUAAUCCUCCACCCACAACUGGAACUACAAGUGCAUGCCACCAUACCUGGCUUUUUUUUUUUUUUUUUUUUUUUUUUUUUAGAGACAGGGCCUUACUAUGUUGCUCAGGUUAGUCGCAAACUCCUGGCCUCAAGCUAUCCUCCUGCCUCAGCCUCCU